GCUUGUCUCAAAGAUUAAGCCAUGCAUGUAUAAGUAUAAACGCUCUGAAGCGUGAAACCGCGAACGGCUCAUUACAACAGCUAUAAUUUACUUGAUCUUGAUAUCCUACUUGGAUAACUGUGGUAAUUCUAGAGCUAAUACAUGCACUAAAGCUCCAACCCGUAAGGGAAGAGCGCAUUUAUUAGAACAAAACCAUGCGGCUUCGGCCGCUCAAUGUUGACUCAGAAUAACUAAGCUGAUCGCAUGGUCUUGUACCGGCGACGUGUCUUUCAAGUAUCUGCCUUAUCAACUUUCGAUGGUACUGUCAUUGACUACCAUGGUGGUGACGGGUAACGGAGGAUCAGGGUUCGACUCCGGAGAAGGGGCCUGAGAAAUGGCCACUACGUCUAAGGAUGGCAGCAGGCGCGCAAAUUACCCACUCUCAGAACAAUUUGAGGAGGUAGUGACGAGAAAUAACGAGGCCGUUCUCAACAGAGGCCGGUCAUCGGAAUGGGUACAAUUUAAACCCUUUAACGAGUAUCUAUGAGAGGGCAAGUCUGGUGCCAGCAGCCGCGGUAAUUCCAGCUCUCAAAAUGCAUAGAAUUAUUGCUGCGGUUAAAAAGCUCGUAGUUGGAUCUGUGCCGACAGACUGGUCCAUCUUCGGAUGCGUACUGGUUAUUGUCGGCUUUCCUGCAGUUUUGCGGCUCAGUGCCUCUCACGGGGUGCAGUGUCCGUUGCUGCAAGUUUACUUUGAACAAAUCAGAGUGCUCUAAACAGGCGUUUCGCUUGAAUGUUCGUGCAUGGAAUAAUAGAAGAGAAUUUCGGGUUCUAUUUUAUUGGUUUUAUAGACUGAGAUAAUGGUUAACAGAGACAAACGGGGGCAUUCGUAUUGCUACGUGAGAGGUGAAAUUCUUGGACC
This 898-nucleotide ribosomal RNA is filed under the name Pratylenchus scribneri. RNAcentral's name for it is "SSU rRNA". It matches the Rfam family "Eukaryotic small subunit ribosomal RNA", at positions 30 to 926 of the family's 1831-position model. Lineage: Eukaryota; Metazoa; Nematoda; Chromadorea; Rhabditida; Pratylenchidae. The record is from RNAcentral.